This 424-nucleotide ribosomal RNA is filed under the name Fusobacteriota bacterium. Its description in RNAcentral is "Fusobacteria bacterium partial 16S ribosomal RNA". It matches the Rfam family "Bacterial small subunit ribosomal RNA", at positions 355 to 776 of the family's 1533-position model. The record is from RNAcentral. Lineage: Bacteria; Fusobacteriati; Fusobacteriota.
UGAGGAAUAUUGGUCAAUGGGCGAGAGCCUGAACCAGCCAAGUAGCGUGCAGGAUGACGGCCCUAUGGGUUGUAAACUGCUUUUAUGUGGGGAUAAAGUGCGUGACGUGUCAUGCAUUGCAGGUACCACAUGAAUAAGGACCGACUAAUUCCGUGCCAGCAGCCGCGGUAAUACGGAAGGUCCGGGCGUUAUCCGGAUUUAUUGGGUUUAAAGGGAGCGUAGGCUGUCUAUUAAGCGUGUUGUGAAAUAUACCGGCUCAACCGGUGGCUUGCAGCGCGAACUGGUCGACUUGAGUAUGCAGGAAGUAGGCGGAAUUCAUGGUGUAGCGGUGAAAUGCUUAGAUAUCAUGACGAACUCCGAUUGCGCAGGCAGCUUACUGUAGCAUAACUGACGCUGAUGCUCGAAAGUGCGGGUAUCAAACAGG